GUUAGGAAUAUUGGACAAUGGGCGAAAGCCUGAUCCAGCCAUGCCGCGUGAACGAUGAAGGCCUUCGGGUUGUAAAGUUCUUUAGCCGAUGAUUAUAAUGACUGUAGUCGGAAAAUAAGCCCCGGCUAACUUCGUGCCAGCAGCCGCGGUAAUACGAAGGGGGCGAGCGUUAUUCGGAAUCACUGGGCGUAAAGCGUGCGUAGGCGGUUUUGUAAGUUAGGAGUGAAAGCCCAGGGCUCAACCUUGGAAUUGCUCUUAAAACUGCAAGGCUCGAAUCUCGGAGAGGAUAGCGGAAUUUCCAGUGUAGCAGUGAAAUGCGUAGAUAUUGGAAGGAACACCAGUGGCGUAAGCGGCUAUCUGGACGAGUAUUGACGCUGAGGCACGAAAGCGUGGGGAUCAAACAGGAUUAGAAACCCUUGGUAGUAC
RNAcentral lists this ribosomal RNA (426 nucleotides) under uncultured bacterium. RNAcentral's name for it is "partial 16S ribosomal RNA". It matches the Rfam family "Bacterial small subunit ribosomal RNA", at positions 354 to 796 of the family's 1533-position model. The record is from RNAcentral.